Molecule: ribosomal RNA, 504 nt
Filed under: uncultured bacterium
Lineage: Bacteria
Description: partial 16S ribosomal RNA
Rfam family: Bacterial small subunit ribosomal RNA
Source: RNAcentral
AUUGAACGCUGGCGGCAGGCCUAACACAUGCAAGUCGGACGGUAGCACAGAGAGCUUGCUCUUGGGUGACGAGUGGCGGACGGGUGAGUAAUGUCUGGGGAUCUGCCCGAUAGAGGGGGAUAACCACUGGAAACGGUGGCUAAUACCGCAUAACGUCGCAAGACCAAAGAGGGGGACCUUCGGGCCUCUCACUAUCGGAUGAACCCAGAUGGGAUUAGCUAGUAGGCGGGGUAAUGGCCCACCUAGGCGACGAUCCCUAGCUGGUCUGAGAGGAUGACCAGCCACACUGGAACGGAGACACGGUCCAGACUCCUACGGGAGGCAGCAGUGGGGAAUAUUGCACAAUGGGCGCAAGCCUGAUGCGGCCAUGCCGCGUGUAUGAAGAAGGCCUUCGGGUUGUAAAGUACUUUCAGCGGGGAGGAAGGCGGCAAGGUUAAUAACCUUGCCGAUUGACGUUACCCGCAGAAGAAGCACCGGCUAACUCCGUGCCAGCCGCCGCGGUAA